Non-coding RNA from Pantherophis guttatus, 1338 nucleotides. The record is from RefSeq and is a predicted model, not a curated record. NCBI's taxonomy places the organism in Eukaryota, Metazoa, Chordata, Lepidosauria, Squamata, Colubridae.
GAGCUAAAUUUGACGGAUAUCACAUUGUGAAAUUUUGAUUGGACAGGAGACCAUCCAAUGGGAAAAAAGGGCGGGAAAGACGCCUUGGUUGCCGGGGUUAAAAGCAAGAGAGGAGGAAGAAUGUAAACUUUAUGUCUAAUGGAGAAUAGAAGGCGAUAGAGAAUGGUUGAUAUCAAAUAUGGAAGGUUUUUUAUUAUUUGUCAUCGGUCUUAAUGAGGAAAUGCAAUCCUAUAUAUGGUUUUCUAGAGUUGAGCACAUUGAACACAAUGAGAUUUUAUUUUAUAUAAUUAUAUAGAUGAUACUGUUUUACUUCUCAGAUAUACAAAAUUGCAAGUGGCUUAAUAUUUCAAUUAUUUGAACUGCAUUCCUGUUAAAGGAAGAAUCACUCGAUUUUUCAUUUUUUAUGAUAGAGUAAAGGUUAGCUUACUGCAUAUAGAGAAUUUAAACAUUUUGGCUUCAUGUUUUGAUAGGCCCUCUAUUACAGUAAUUGAAUUUAUUAAACUUAUUAGUUUCUCUCUCAGAAUUAGCAACUUUUCCAUUCCACUCAAACAUUGGCAUAGACUCUUCUCCAUAUCACAUUCCAGUUCUACUUAUCCUCUAAUACUUUGCUGAGUGUGGAUAAUAUGACAAAAUUCUAGGGUUUCCUCACAUGUGUUCCAGAUGCAGAAAGUACUUUCUAGAAAAUGAGCAUGUCUUAGACUGUUUGCAUGAGGGAGAUCACAACUGUUUGUACCCAUCUUAUCGGAGGGAGAAGACUCCGAAAGUGAAGGAGAGGAGUUGGCAAGGCUUCCCUCUCCAGGACCCUCCUCUCUGGCAAUGCCUCAGGUGUCUUCCGAAGGAGAAGAGAUAGGCCAGGAGCCAGGCAUCUCCGAGCAGCCGCAGUUAGACAGCGACGGAGAUAAGUCUUGGCUGAAUCCCUGCCAGCGUCGGAAAGACAAGCUCACGAAGCAGAGAAGGAGGCAUGCCAGAGAUUAAACUGAGUCACUGGACCACACCCUAUAGGGGAUAAAAGGGGGUGUGGUGGCCAUUCAGGCUUUGUGACGGACAAAACUGAAUAGCUAGCAAGUCAUACUGUGUUCCUGAAACUUCGUUAUAUGCCUUCCUUGGAUUUAUUAUGGACUGGACUUGACAAUUCUUUGGCUUUGUGAAUUUAUUUUGCUUUAUCUGACGGAGGAGGAACACCUCCCUUUGUGAGUAAAGUUUUUGGCAAGCAGCUACUGGGUUGCUGCCAAUUCUGUUAUCAAAGGAAAUUCCUGACUGCUGGUUUUAUUAACUCCUGGCUGACUGUUUGUGUGUGUGUGUGAGACGGGGACAGAACAUGUUCUUUUAAAUACUGCU